AUUUAGCCCAGACAAAGCUGUCACAUUCCUAUGCUGCUCUCCAAUCAUCAAUGGCCAUCGAAACCUACAGAAAAAAAAGAAAGAUUUAUCACAGAGGUAGCAGAAGACGAUAUUUCGUCAACAAUCUGGAAUCACAAACAGAUGAGACACAAAAGCAAAUGUCAUGCUGCCUUCCCCUCAUUGUAGAAGGCUAGAAGCAUUAUUACCUUGGGGAUUUCGUCUGUUGUGAUGUGCUGUGAUGCUGCGGUGUGGAUUUUUCAUUUUUGGGUGAAGACGAGAUACAAAUUUGAAGGGGAGAAUAUUAUGAGAAAAUGUGAAAGAUGCAUGAAGCCUGUACUGUCAACUAUUGUGUUAAAAAUCCUGGUAUCCUACUGAAUAUGUCAUCCAAAUGACAGAGUGGAUUCAUAUCACUAUUAUCGGCUGAAUCAUUCUAUGGAACUUGCCAGAUCACCAACCCCACGCAUGGACCAAUCUCUCAUUCCAUCUUCUAGAGAACCUUGGAUAACUGAUUGGUGGUUUAGUGUGUUCUUAGGUUUCUAAUGUUGCAUGCAUUUUAUGAGAAGUCACUGUCCAUUGAAGAAAAAGGACUGACUAUACAGUCAAGGUAACCUGUUGGCUGCUACCCUUGAAUAUCCCAUUUUACUUUAUGAAAGUGUAAACGGGCCAUCUUGAUUUGAGGGUAACUCCUUCGCUGCUUAUCGUGGACUUCAUUCAUUGGUGAAAACCAAUGACAAUCAGGAGGAAAAGAGUGCGCUGGUCGAACGGGGACUUCCAGUCGGAAGCCUACUUUAUGAUUAAUCGCUCUGGUAGUAACUGUUCCUCAACUCUUCGCUCUUUUUCCGGUUUCUCCUACCAUCUCCCUGCCUGCAGUCAAUUAAGGCAGUGUCUCCCCCUGUCUUGAUUGACUCCAUGUGCGAAUUUUAAAAGCAGUUGAUCACCCAAAUGAGAAAAAAGAGUUAGGUUUGUUUUAUUUGGGUAAAAAUUGUUUUAAAACUUGUAGCUUGUACCUAUAAAACAAU
This is a long non-coding RNA of Daphnia pulicaria, 1019 nucleotides long. RefSeq lists it as uncharacterized. Lineage: Eukaryota; Metazoa; Arthropoda; Branchiopoda; Diplostraca; Daphniidae. The transcript is spliced from 6 exons. The record is from RefSeq and is a predicted model, not a curated record.